CAGCAGCCGCGGGAAUACAGAGGGUGCAAGCGUUAAUCGGAGUUACUGGGCGUAAAGCGCGCGUAGGUGGUUCGCCAAGUUGGAUGUGAAAUCCCCGGGCUCAACCUGGGAACUGCAUCCAAAACUGGCGAGCUAGAGUAUGGUAGAGGGUGGUGGAAUUUCCUGUGUAGCGGUGAAAUGCGUAGAUAUAGGAAGGAACAUCAGUGGCGAAGGCGACCACCUGGACUGAUACUGACACUGAGGUGCGAAAGCGUGGGGAGCAAACAGGAUUAGAUACCCCAGUAGUCCCUGUCUCUUAUAC
Molecule: ribosomal RNA, 301 nt
Filed under: uncultured bacterium
Lineage: Bacteria
Description: partial 16S ribosomal RNA
Rfam family: Bacterial small subunit ribosomal RNA
Source: RNAcentral